This 479-nucleotide long non-coding RNA is filed under the name Cricetulus griseus (Chinese hamster). RNAcentral describes it as "lncRNA (ENSCGRG00000025888.1)". The record is from RNAcentral. Lineage: Eukaryota; Metazoa; Chordata; Mammalia; Rodentia; Cricetidae.
AGAAUCUCUCUGUCCAGAGGCAAGGACAGAGACCAAAUACAUGUGUUUCUUCUUCUUUGUUUUCCAGAGAGGGCUUCUCUGUGUAACAAUCUCGGCUGUCUGGGGAACCACUUUGUGAAACAAGCUGACCUCAAACUCAUGGAAAUCUACCUGCCUCUGCCUCUCAAGGACUGAGAUUGAAGGCAUGCACCACCUAGGCCUGGCUAUGUGUUUCUUCUUACAUCUCAAGAUCUUGUUCCAGGCCUUGUAUACUGUUUUCAGGUCUGAGGCUUUGUUGUGCAUCUUGUGGAGUAAUGUCAGUUUCUACUGUUCAGCUUGGAGACUGGCUCAGUAUAAAGAAGACCUCUGCACUGGCUUCAUUGGUUCAGCAGAGAUAGCCUUCAUUUCAUGUCAGUGUGAAAAUCUCUCUCUUUCUCUUCUGCUCAGCUUUGCUUAUCUUCAGAGAAUUUCAUCUUAGAGGUUUAGAAGACUUUUCCUGA